UUGCCUUAGUAGCGGCGAGUGAAGCGGCAAAAGCUCAAAUUUGAAAUCUGGCUCUUUCAGAGUCCGAGUUGUAAUUUGAAGAAGGUAUCUUUGGGUCUGGCUCUUGUCUAUGUUUCUUGGAACAGAACGUCACAGAGGGUGAGAAUCCCGUGCGAUGAGAUGAUCCAGGCCUAUGUAAAGUUCCUUCGAAGAGUCGAGUUGUUUGGGAAUGCAGCUCUAAGUGGGUGGUAAAUUCCAUCUAAAGCUAAAUAUUGGCGAGAGACCGAUAGCGAACAAGUACAGUGAUGGAAAGAUGAAAAGAACUUUGAAAAGAGAGUGAAAAAGUACGUGAAAUUGUUGAAAGGGAAGGGCUUGAGAUCAGACUUGGUAUUUUGUAUGUUACUUCUUCGGGGGUGGCCUCUACAGUUUAUCGGGCCAGCAUCAGUUUGGGCGGUAGGAGAAUUGCGUUGGAAUGUGGCACGGCUUCGGUUGUGUGUUAUAGCCUUCGUCGAUACUGCCAGCCUAGACUGAGGACUGCGGUUUAUACCUAGGAUGU
Molecule: ribosomal RNA, 535 nt
Filed under: Candida tropicalis
Lineage: Eukaryota; Fungi; Ascomycota; Pichiomycetes; Serinales; Debaryomycetaceae
Also listed under: 1 other name
Description: partial large subunit ribosomal RNA
Rfam family: Eukaryotic large subunit ribosomal RNA
Source: RNAcentral